CUGUACAAACACUAACAUAUAUUCCAUCAUCCGAAGGCGCUAGCAAUAAUGUAUUGUCUUUGUUUUAUUUAUAGUAUUCAAGAACGGUGAAGAAAAGAAUAUAUUCGGAGAAAACAGUCAUAUUUACCCAAACGCAUUGUCGAUGUAUCUACUAAGAACAGGAAAAUGGAAAAUGCCCAAAACUUUUAUAGAAAAAUUUUCCAACCAACGAUCAAUCGAGUUUAUUUUCGAAGAAAAAAUGACUGACGAUUUCAAGGAAGGUCUUUGGAAAGAUUUGGAAUCAAAGACCAAAUCAGCAUAUCGUGUUCCGAAAUGGAAACGGAAAGAAAAAGGUAGAUUGAAAAAUGAGAUUAUCAUUUUUGUUUUCGGACCAGCCGAAUCAGACAAGGGUAUGACGAUAUGUGUGCCAGUGUAUUGUCACUGAGAAUC
Molecule: long non-coding RNA, 429 nt
Organism: Ostrea edulis (European flat oyster)
Lineage: Eukaryota; Metazoa; Mollusca; Bivalvia; Ostreida; Ostreidae
Exons: 3
Source: RefSeq, a predicted model, not a curated record